CGGCGGACGGGUGAGUAACGCGUGGGUGACCUGCCCCAUACCGGGGGAUAACAGCUGGAAACGGCUGCUAAUACCGCAUAAGCGCACAGAGCUGCAUGGCUCGGUGUGAAAAACUCCGGUGGUAUGGGAUGGGCCCGCGUCUGAUUAGGCAGUUGGCGGGGUAACGGCCCACCAAACCGACGAUCAGUAGCCGGCCUGAGAGGGCGACCGGCCACAUUGGGACUGAGACACGGCCCAAACUCCUACGGGAGGCAGCAUG
RNAcentral lists this ribosomal RNA (259 nucleotides) under uncultured bacterium. RNAcentral's name for it is "partial 16S ribosomal RNA". It matches the Rfam family "Bacterial small subunit ribosomal RNA", at positions 96 to 353 of the family's 1533-position model. The record is from RNAcentral.